This 1008-nucleotide ribosomal RNA is filed under the name Serratia marcescens. RNAcentral's name for it is "bacterial SSU rRNA". It matches the Rfam family "Bacterial small subunit ribosomal RNA", at positions 1 to 1027 of the family's 1533-position model. The record is from RNAcentral. Lineage: Bacteria; Pseudomonadati; Pseudomonadota; Gammaproteobacteria; Enterobacterales; Yersiniaceae.
UAAUUGAAGAGUUUGAUCAUGGCUCAGAUUGAACGCUGGCGGCAGGCUUAACACAUGCAAGUCGAGCGGUAGCACAGGGGAGCUUGCUCCUCGGGUGACGAGCGGCGGACGGGUGAGUAAUGUCUGGGAAACUGCCUGAUGGAGGGGAUAACUACUGGAAACGCUAAUACCGCAUAACGUCGCAAGACCAAAGAGGGGGACCUUCGGCCUCUUGCCAUCAGAUGUGCCCAGAUGGGAUUAGCUAGUAGGUGGGGUAAUGGCUCACCUAGGCGACGAUCCCUAGCUGGUCUGAGAGGAUGACCAGCCACACUGGAACUGAGACACGGUCCAGACUCCUACGGAGGCAGCAGUGGGGAAUAUUGCACAAUGGGCGCAAGCCUGAUGCAGCCAUGCCGCGUGUGUGAAGAAGGCCUUCGGGUUGUAAAGCACUUUCAGCGAGGAGGAAGGUGGUGAACUUAAUACGUUCAUCAAUUGACGUUACCGCAGAAGAAGCACCGGCUAACUCCGUGCCAGCAGCCGCGGUAAUACGGAGGGUGCAAGCGUUAAUCGGAAUUACUGGGCGUAAAGCGCACGCAGGCGGUUUGUUAAGUCAGAUGUGAAAUCCCCGGGCUCAACCUGGGAACUGCAUUUGAAACUGGCAAGCUAGAGUCUCGUAGAGGGGGUAGAAUUCAGUGUAGCGGUGAAAUGCGUAGAGAAUACCGGUGGCGAAGGCGGCCCCUGGACGAAGACUGACGCUCAGGUGCGAAAGCGUGGGGAGCAAACAGGAUUAGAUACCUGGUAGUCCACGCUGUAAACGAUGUCGAUUUGGAGGUUGUGCCCUUGAGGCGUGGCUUCCGAGCUAACGCGUUAAAUCGACCGCCCGGGAGUACGGCCGCAAGGUUAAAACUCAAAUGAAUUGACGGGGCCCGCACAAGCGGUGGAGCAUGUGGUUUAAUUCGAUGCAACGCGAAGAACCUUACCUACUCUUGACAGAGAACUUAGCAGAGAUGCUUUGGUGCCUUCGGGAAC